Molecule: long non-coding RNA, 569 nt
Organism: Harpegnathos saltator (Jerdon's jumping ant)
Lineage: Eukaryota; Metazoa; Arthropoda; Insecta; Hymenoptera; Formicidae
Exons: 2
Source: RefSeq, a predicted model, not a curated record
UUUAUUACAUAGAAGAUUACAACAAGAUCCAAGACGCUCAAAUAAUAAAGAAAGCGGUGACUCCACGCUGGAAUUCGGAGAAUUACAAUUAUGUGUUAACAAUGAUGCAGAAAUAUCGUACGAUCACUUUGUGUGAUCGUACCUCGGCUCGGGACAUCCGCUUACGCAAAAGUAGCAGUCGCUCAAUGUAGAUAUCUUCUCACAUCCGUGAUGCUCGCAGAGAUUAUCGAAACGUCCGAAGAGAUCAAACUGUAUUCAUUCAAACUGUAACUUACAUAGCUAAAAAAACGACUCAACUGAAAUACAGGGGAAAAUUCUUGGAACUUACAUCGUACGAUAUUUCUGCAUCAUUGUUAACACAUAAUUGUAAUUCUCCGAAUUCCAGCGUGAAGUCACCGCCUUCUUUAUUAUUUGGGCGUCUUGGAUCUUGUUGUAAUCCUCUAUGUAAUAAACCUACAGGCAUCAUUAGAUUAUGUGAUUAUAUGUGACAAUAUUACAAAAUAUCUAUUAUUGUAAUAGGUUUAUAUUUUAUCUUAAAAUACACGAAUAAAAAGAGAUUUACUAACCCC